CAGUCGCCGCGGUAAUACAGAGGGUGCAAGCGUUAAUCGGAAUUACUGGGCGUAAAGCGCGCGUAGGUGGUUCGCCAAGUUGGAUGUGAAAUCCCCGGGCUCAACCUGGGAACUGCAUCCAAAACUGGCGAGCUAGAGUAUGGUAGAGGGUGGUGGAAUUUCCUGUGUAGCGGUGAAAUGCGUAGAUAUAGGAAGGAACAUCAGUGGCGAAGGCGACCACCUGGACUGAUACUGACACUGAGGUGCGAAAGCGUGGGGAGCAAACAGGAUUAGAGACCCCUGUAGUCCCUGUCUCUUAUAC
This 301-nucleotide ribosomal RNA is filed under the name uncultured bacterium. Its description in RNAcentral is "partial 16S ribosomal RNA". It matches the Rfam family "Bacterial small subunit ribosomal RNA", at positions 509 to 807 of the family's 1533-position model. The record is from RNAcentral.